Molecule: signal recognition particle RNA, 299 nt
Filed under: Oncorhynchus kisutch (coho salmon)
Lineage: Eukaryota; Metazoa; Chordata; Actinopteri; Salmoniformes; Salmonidae
Description: Metazoan signal recognition particle RNA (ENSOKIG00005032748.1)
Rfam family: Metazoan signal recognition particle RNA
About the family: The signal recognition particle (SRP) is a universally conserved ribonucleoprotein.
Source: Rfam by way of RNAcentral
GCCGGGUGCGGUGGCAUGUGCCUGUAAUCCAAGUCACUGGGAGGCUGAGGUUGGUGGAUCAAGUGAGCUGAGGAGCUCUGGGCUGCAGCACACUAUGUUGAACGGGUGUCCACGCUAAGUUCGGUAUCGAUAUGGUGUUCCAGGGGAGCCCGGGACCACCAGGUUGUCUAAGGAGGGGUGAACCGGCCCAGGUCGGAAACGAAGCAGGUCAAAUCCCCCGUGCUGUCCAGUAGUUGGAUAAUACCUGUGAGUAGAUGCUGCAGUGCAGCCUUGGCGAAAACAUCGAGACCUAAUCUUUC